GAACUUAGCAGAGAUGCUUUGGUGCCUUCGGGAACUCUGAGACAGGUGCUGCAUGGCUGUCGUCAGCUCGUGUUGUGAAAUGUUGGGUUAAGUCCCGCAACGAGCGCAACCCUUUAUCCUUUGUUGCCAGCGGCUCGGCCGGGAACUCAAAGGAGACUGCCGGUGAUAAACCGGAGGAAGGUGGGGAUGACGUCAAGUCAUCAUGGCCCUUACGGCCAGGGCUACACACGUGCUACAAUGGCGCAUACAAAGAGAAGCGACCUCGCGAGAGCAAGCGGACCUCAUAAAGUGCGUCGUAGUCCGGAUUGGAGUCUGCAACUCGACUCCAUGAAGUCGGAAUCGCUAGUAAUCGUAGAUCAGAAUGCUACGGUGAAUACGUUCCCGGGCCUUGUACACACCGCCCGUCACACCAUGGGAGUGGGUUGCAAAAGAAGUAGGUAGCUUAACCUUCGGGAGGGCGCUUACCACUUUGUGAUUCAUGACUGGGGUGAAGUCGUAACAAGGUAGGCGUAGCGAG
This 517-nucleotide ribosomal RNA is filed under the name uncultured bacterium. Its description in RNAcentral is "bacterial SSU rRNA". It matches the Rfam family "Bacterial small subunit ribosomal RNA", at positions 993 to 1509 of the family's 1533-position model. The record is from RNAcentral.